RNAcentral lists this long non-coding RNA (338 nucleotides) under Capsicum annuum. Its description in RNAcentral is "long non-coding RNA (CANN_LNC021509)". Lineage: Eukaryota; Viridiplantae; Streptophyta; Magnoliopsida; Solanales; Solanaceae. The record is from RNAcentral.
UGCCUUAUACAACAAAAUCACUCUGACUAUUUUAAAGAACGAGAUACCUUUUACCCUUCUAUCAUAUGAAUAUGAUUUUAGAAUCGAGCCUCCAUUUUAUUUGCCACGCAUCAACUAUUUUUCUUUUUAAAAAAUACUCCCUCCCCAACCCCCGAUCCCACCCACCUUCACCCCAUGCCCCCAAGGUAGAGAGUGAGCUAUACAAACGAAGCUUUUAUUUCCCCAUGAACAAGAAAUCCCAUUCCAUCUUCCAUCAAAUCCCAUCAUAAAAAACCCUAGCUUUCUCCUCUCUUCCUCACAGAUCCAAAACCUAAAUCCACCGCACGUCGGACGGACGG